RNAcentral lists this ribosomal RNA (433 nucleotides) under uncultured bacterium. RNAcentral describes it as "partial 16S ribosomal RNA". It matches the Rfam family "Bacterial small subunit ribosomal RNA", at positions 29 to 507 of the family's 1533-position model. The record is from RNAcentral.
AACGAACGCUGGCGGCAUGCCUAACACAUGCAAGUCGAACGAGACCUUCGGGUCUAGUGGCGCACGGGUGCGUAACACGUGGGAAUCUGCCCUUUGCUUCGGAAUAACAGUUAGAAAUGACUGCUAAUACCGGAUGAUGUCGAAAGACCAAAGAUUUAUCGGCAAAGGAUGAGCCCGCGUAGGAUUAGGUAGUUGGGGGGGUAAAGGCCUACCAAGCCGACGAUCCUUAGCUGGUCUGAGAGGAUGAUCAGCCACACUGGGACUGAGACACGGCCCAGACUCCUACGGGAGGCAGCAGUGGGGAAUAUUGAAAAAUGGGCGAAAGCCUGAUCCAGCAAUGCCGCGUGAGUGAUGAAGGCCUUAGGGUUGUAAAGCUCUUUUACCAGGGAUGAUAAUGACAGUACCUGGAGAAUAAGCUCCGGCUAACUCCGUG